Molecule: long non-coding RNA, 559 nt
Organism: Gopherus flavomarginatus (Mexican gopher tortoise)
Lineage: Eukaryota; Metazoa; Chordata; Testudines; Testudinidae
Exons: 3
Source: RefSeq, a predicted model, not a curated record
CAGGUGGACUUUCCUGGGUUUACCUUGAGACUGAGCCUUCUGACCAGGUCUAGAAGCAUGGUGGUGGCUUCCUGUGUUUCCUGGCCCAGGGAUUGGAAGCAAUCGAUGGUGAGUUGUGUGAAGCGGAGGGCCUCGUUGAACAUGGAGGCCUUCAGGAGGCAAUCGUCGAGGGGUUUGGAUGCCUAAGGAUCGAAGAGUUGCCCUUGAGUCCUUCAUUGAGUGGAGCACCUCAUUCGUGGUGGAAGCAAAGAGUUUAUCACCAUCAAAAGAGAGGUCCUCUAUGGUGCUCUGAACCUUGCGAGGAAAGAGGGAAGAGGAGAGCCAUGAACCUCGGUGCAUGACCAUCGCCUUAGCGGUGGAUCUUGCUGCGGUAUUGGCUGCAUCCAGAGCUGCUUGAAGAGCCAUGCGUGAUAUGAUUUGGCCCUCGGAAACUAAAGCUGUAAACUGUUGUUUCUUCUGGUCUGGAAUGUGUUCAAUAAAGUCCAUGAACUUGUUAUAGUUUCUAUGGUCGUACUUUGCCAGAAUUGCGGUAUAAUUGGCAAUUCAAAAUUGUAAGGUU